AAUAAAUCAAGAGUGUGCUGAGGGCACUGGCCCAUAGAAGCACCGCCAACCGAGUCUUACGACCACGGUGGCAAAUCCAGCCCUUGAAAGAGGGAAAGAUUUGGC
RNAcentral lists this non-coding RNA (105 nucleotides) under Candidatus Microgenomatota. Its description in RNAcentral is "Microgenomates Woesebacteria SAM-I sequence". It matches the Rfam family "SAM riboswitch aptamer (S box leader)". From Rfam's summary of the family: The SAM riboswitch is found upstream of a number of genes which code for proteins involved in methionine or cysteine biosynthesis in Gram-positive bacteria. The SAM riboswitch acts at the level of transcription termination control. The record is from RNAcentral.